Long non-coding RNA from Mus musculus (house mouse), 211 nucleotides. RefSeq annotates it as predicted gene, 39851. The transcript is spliced from 3 exons. The record is from RefSeq and is a predicted model, not a curated record. Lineage: Eukaryota; Metazoa; Chordata; Mammalia; Rodentia; Muridae.
GUACCUGGCACAGAAGCAUGUGAUCAACACAUCUCUCAACCCUCAUCAGAGAAGCCUCUAUUUCCAGCAGAUGAGAUUAACACAGAUACCUACAACAGGCCCAGAGUGGAGAUCUGUCUGCGCUGACAUGGCCCAUUUCCCACUCCUCAUUGCAAGACUAAUGGCACAGAUAUGAUUGAAUUGCUACCAACGGAAGGAAGGCGGCAACGAG